This 70-nucleotide transfer RNA is filed under the name Laternula truncata. Its description in RNAcentral is "tRNA-Asn". The record is from RNAcentral. Lineage: Eukaryota; Metazoa; Mollusca; Bivalvia; Laternulidae.
GUGUAAAUAGGCUAAGAUUUAUGCCUUUUGGUUGUUGCCCAGAGAGUGAGAAAAUGAUUCUCUUUACACU